Non-coding RNA from Paramuricea clavata, 178 nucleotides. The record is from the annotation of a GenBank genome assembly. Lineage: Eukaryota; Metazoa; Cnidaria; Anthozoa; Malacalcyonacea; Plexauridae.
UAUUAUACAAAUAAUGAUUGUUUAUGAGUGCAAUGGUAAGAAUAUUUUCAUGAGGUGAAAGAUGGAAUAUGUACCAUUCAACGAGGCGACAGCCGAGUUUAAUGGAACAUUCCAUCUUUCACCGAAUGAAAAUAUUCUUACCAUUGCACGAAUAAAAACAUUCAUUAUUUGUUUUAUA